GACGGGGCCGCACAAGCGGUGAGCAUGUGGUUUAAUUCGAUGCAACGCGAAGACCUUACCUGGACUUGACAUCUCGGGAAUCCCCUGGAAACAGGGAGUGCCCUCGGGAGCCCGAAGACAGGUGCUGCAUGGCUGUCGUCAGCUCGUGUCGUGAGAUGUUGGGUUAAGUCCCGCAACGAGCGCAACCCUUGUCUUUAAUUGCCAUCAUUCAGUUGGGCACUUUAAAGAGACUGCCGGUGUUAAGCCGGAGGAAGGUGGGAUGACGUCAAGUCCUCAUGGCCUUUAUGUCCAGGGCUACACACGUGCUACAAUGGGUGGUACAAAGAGCAGCAAACUCGCGAGAGUAAGCGAAUCUCAAAAAGCCAUCCUCAGUUCGGAUUGGAGUCUGCAACUCGACUCCAUGAAGUUGGAAUCGCUAGUAAUCGCGGAUCAGCAUGCCGCGGUCGAAUACGUUCCCGGGCCUU
Molecule: ribosomal RNA, 464 nt
Filed under: uncultured Syntrophus sp.
Lineage: Bacteria; Pseudomonadati; Thermodesulfobacteriota; Syntrophia; Syntrophales; Syntrophaceae
Description: bacterial SSU rRNA
Rfam family: Bacterial small subunit ribosomal RNA
Source: RNAcentral